This 31-nucleotide non-coding RNA is filed under the name Rattus norvegicus (Norway rat). The record is from RNAcentral. Lineage: Eukaryota; Metazoa; Chordata; Mammalia; Rodentia; Muridae.
UCUCCAUCAUUAGGGCCACAAGGUAGGAGGU